Molecule: signal recognition particle RNA, 219 nt
Filed under: chicken gut metagenome
Description: Bacterial large signal recognition particle RNA
Rfam family: Bacterial large signal recognition particle RNA
About the family: The signal recognition particle (SRP) is a universally conserved ribonucleoprotein involved in the co-translational targeting of proteins to membranes. Archaeal SRP consists of a 7S RNA and homologues of the eukaryotic SRP19 and SRP54 proteins. In most bacteria, the SRP consists of a 4.5S RNA and the Ffh protein (a homologue of the eukaryotic SRP54 protein).
Source: RNAcentral
GCUAGAUGGAGAGUUAGCGGUGCUCUGUAACCCACAAUCCGCUAUAGUGGGGUCGAACGCUUGCCUCGGUUUUGUUUAGUCAAAUAUGUGUGAAAUUUUUUUGUGAUGAAAUCAAGGUCUUAUGCAAUCAGAAUCUUCGAACCAUGUCAGAUCCUGACGGAAGCAUCAUUAAGAAGACCCCCUGGUGUGCCAUAAGGUAGCUUUGGUGGAGCGAAACAA